CUGAACUCUGAGGAAGGUAGAUCUCCAGGAACAGGGCUGGUUACACCUGAUCUAGAGAAAUGAGCUAAAUUUUAAGCGUCGUUGCAAAGGGCUGAGCGUGUUCUGCUGGCGUUUGACGGGUCAUGGGAUGUUUGAGCAGUCUGCUGUGAAUUUCCAACAAACUGACUUGAUCUGGAAAGCCUCCGUCCAAUAUGGUCCAGAGUUUCCUCCCUUUGUUUACGGAGAUAAAUUGCUUGAUUUGGGAUUGUGGAGGGGUCGGCUCGUAAAAAAGAUGAAGCUUGCAAAUAGAUGUCAGCGGGCGUUACACGAAGCAAUCAAGGUGCAAUUGCAGAGCAUCUGAUAACGGCUGAGAGAGGGAUACGAAAUUUAUCCUCAUGCCAAAUCUAAAGGCUGAUUGCCUGAACAACAGCUACAUGAGAGACGCUUCACUUUCAAAUCUGUUGUGACAUGGAGAGAAAUGUCUCGUACUUCACUGACUUCAUUGGUAACUUCAUUGCAAACGCUGAUAUUGUGAGUUAUUUCUACUGGUAAAAAUGACUUUUAUUGGUGUAACCCAAUUCAGUCAUGUUGAGUUCAUCAUAUUAAAUGAUUAAUUUGAA
Long non-coding RNA from Onychostoma macrolepis, 599 nucleotides. RefSeq lists it as uncharacterized. The transcript has 3 exons. NCBI's taxonomy places the organism in Eukaryota, Metazoa, Chordata, Actinopteri, Cypriniformes, Cyprinidae. The record is from RefSeq and is a predicted model, not a curated record.